RNAcentral lists this ribosomal RNA (501 nucleotides) under uncultured bacterium. Its description in RNAcentral is "partial 16S ribosomal RNA". It matches the Rfam family "Bacterial small subunit ribosomal RNA", at positions 30 to 523 of the family's 1533-position model. The record is from RNAcentral.
AUUGAACGCUGGCGGCAGGCUUAACACAUGCAAGUCGAGCGGGGGAAGGUAGCUUGCUACCGGACCUAGCGGCGGACGGGUGAGUAAUGCUUAGGAAUCUGCCUAUUAGUGGGGGACAACAUAUCGAAAGUGAUGCUAAUACCGCAUACGUCCUACGGGAGAAAGCAGGGGAUCUUCGGACCUUGCGCUAAUUAAGGAGCCUAAGUCGGAUUAGCUAGUUGGUGGGGUAAAGGCCUACCAAGGCGACGAUAUGUAGCGGGUCCGAGAGGAUGAUCCGGCACACUGGGACUGAGACACGGCCCAGACUCCUACGGGAGGCAGCAGUGGGGAAUAUUGGACAAUGGGUGGAACCCUGAUCCAGCCAUGCCGCGUGUGUGAAGAAGGCCUUAUGGUUGUAAAGCACUUUAAGCGAGGAGGAGGCUACUUUAGUUAAUACCUAGAGAUAGUGGACGUUACUCGCAGAAUAAGCACCGGCUAACUCUGUGCCAGCCGCCGCAGUAA